CAAAACUUGGAACGCCUCUAAUUAUCACAAGAACUGGCCAAAACCAAUUGACCAAUGGCUUGAAAGGUGAUCAGAGAUCGUCAAAUAGACAGCAACUUUAACAACGCUCUUCCCAUUUUGCAGAGCUCUAUUUAUUCAUAAGUCACCGACAAAGUUUUCCAUUACCAUUUUGAGAUCAGCUGUCGGUGACUGAAGAGGAAAGAUAAAACUAUAUUGAAAAUUUAAGCUCGCGUUUCUUCUGAAUUUGAUGAAAUAAAAAAAGAGACGCGCUUACAAAUAUCGUUUAGAAAUAUUAAUAAAAGUUACCGAAAAGUAUUUAAAACGUCAAAACAGUAAAAAACGACAGCUAGGAUUUGACAUUUACUCUGCGGUCAAAGAACACUAAUUUCGAUUUAUUUGAAAUUAAAGCAAAUUUUGGAGAAAAGACUCGUCGGGAACUACAAGAAAGGAAACACGGUGAUAGACUGGAAAUGCUCAAAUUCGACCAUAUGGUUAUCUAUGUGCUGUUGUUUGUGUUAACAGUGUCGUCUGCUUUCUCCAGCCCUGUGCUGACUGGAUACCGACAACAAAGAAUUUCCUCAAGAAGCAGACGAGAUAUACAGGGAAUUCCGACCCAGAUACAACAGGAUCUUGCCGGGCCGCUAAUGCGCAUGUUGUUCAAGGAAAAAAGCCAUUUGUUGAACUUUUUGUCGACACGCAGCCAUGAAGAAAAGCGGCAGCGACAAUGCUAUUGGUCCGUCAUAUCCUGUUACUAGGAUAUCACGUGCGAUAUUGUCGUCUGGGAACGCGUAUAAACAUCCCGCUGUUAACAUUACCGACAACGGACGGAUAAGAUCAAAUCUACCAUGGCUAAAUUUCAUUUAAAGACAUUAAAAACUGGGAAACGAUGACAUAAAAUGAACACAGGAAACAUUUAAAUAUUGAAUAAAAACUGUAAUUCUCUCUGGGUAUCCAUUUUCUGCAUUAAUCAAACAAAUAUUUAAUGUCAGAACCUUUUUUAAAGAUUGUCUGUCAUUAUAUAAUAUAAUCAUAGAAUCGAUUUUCCUAAAAUCACAAAAUUUUGUUUGAAAAUUCAACGAUACUCGAUUUACGAUAACAAAAUAUUUAAAAAAUGAAUAUUGAUAUAAAUAUAAAUAUUUUUAUAUAUGCAUAAGAGUGACUUUUACUGAUUGUUCAACACAGUACUACAUAUUUCUAUUUCGUAAUGUCACGUUAUAUUGGCAGUUUAUUCUAAUACUAACAAGCUAUGUAAUUAAGAUAUACUUUUAAUAAAUUCUUCUGACAAUUUUUUGUUGUAUUAAAGAAUUAAAAAUUUAAAAUAUAUGCAUAUGGUUUAAUUCAAGCAAAACUGACAAACUUUUUGUUGUUUUUGUUUUUGUUUUUUUAAAGGAAAUUGAAAUUAGGGUACGAUGUGUGAUUGCCAAAUGUGUAUGAAUGUGAAUAUAUAUCAUAUAAUUUGAAAUGAUUAAAUGGAUUUUAUUCACUCUCUUUUUAGUUUAUAAAUUGAAAAUUUAAUGAAUAAAAAAUAUUUUAUUAUAAAUGAUGCAUUUCAUGUAGGCUUUUCAAAAGAAUUGUUAAGCGUUAAUUAUUGAGGGCAUAUUUUAACUUAUUUGAUAGCUAGCUUGAUGAAUUGAAUAGAAAGUCGUUGCCUUUAAUACAAAUGUCGUAAAAUCUAAAACAGAUGUCGUAAAAUUAAAAACAAAACGUUUAAAUUGUAUGGUGUACUGAACAGUGUAUGCAGUAUGAUUUUGUGAUUUGAUCAGUAUCGUUGUUUAUUAUUUUGUUGUUUGGUUUCUUGAAUAGAUCGGAACUUUUAUUGUAAACUUCAAGGCAAAAGAAAUAAAAGCAAAUAUUUAUUACAAGAAAAAGA
Ruditapes philippinarum (Manila clam) is the source of this 1870-nucleotide long non-coding RNA. RefSeq lists it as uncharacterized. Lineage: Eukaryota; Metazoa; Mollusca; Bivalvia; Venerida; Veneridae. The record is from RefSeq and is a predicted model, not a curated record. The transcript has 2 exons.